UAUAAGGCAUUUUUCGCAAUUAGUGAUUGA
This 30-nucleotide non-coding RNA is filed under the name Mus musculus (house mouse). The record is from RNAcentral. Lineage: Eukaryota; Metazoa; Chordata; Mammalia; Rodentia; Muridae.